GAGAAAGUCAUAGUGAUUAUGAAGCUGGUUUGGAACCAGUUUUAGGAGGUUUGAUUCCUUCCUCUCUCG
Macaca mulatta (Rhesus monkey) is the source of this 69-nucleotide non-coding RNA. The record is from Rfam. Lineage: Eukaryota; Metazoa; Chordata; Mammalia; Primates; Cercopithecidae.